RNAcentral lists this ribosomal RNA (898 nucleotides) under Colletotrichum coccodes. Its description in RNAcentral is "LSU rRNA". It matches the Rfam family "Eukaryotic large subunit ribosomal RNA", at positions 38 to 965 of the family's 3401-position model. The record is from RNAcentral. Lineage: Eukaryota; Fungi; Ascomycota; Sordariomycetes; Glomerellales; Glomerellaceae.
GCAUAUCAAUAAGCGGAGGAAAAAGAAACCAACAGGGAUUGCCCCCAGUAACGGCGAGUGAAGCGGCAACAGCUCAAAUUUGAAAUCUGGCCCCAGGCCCGAGUUGUAAUUUGCAGAGGAUGCUUUUGGCGCGGUGCCUUCCGAGUUCCCUGGAACGGGACGCCAUAGAGGGUGAGAGCCCCGUACGGUUGGACACCAAGCCUUUGUAAAGCUCCUUCGACGAGUCGAGUAGUUUGGGAAUGCUGCUCAAAAUGGGAGGUAUAUUUCUUCUAAAGCUAAAUAUUGGCCAGAGACCGAUAGCGCACAAGUAGAGUGAUCGAAAGAUGAAAAGCACUUUGAAAAGAGGGUUAAACAGCACGUGAAAUUGUUGAAAGGGAAGCGCUUGUGACCAGACUUGCGCCCGGUGAAUCACCCAGCUCUCGCGGCUGGGGCACUUUGCCGGCACAGGCCAGCAUCAGCUUGCCGUCGGGGACAAAAGCUUCGGGAACGUAGCUCUCUUCGGGGAGUGUUAUAGCCCGUUGCAUAAUACCCUUCGGCGGGCUGAGGUACGCGCUCCGCAAGGAUGCUGGCGUAAUGGUCAUCAGCGACCCGUCUUGAAACACGGACCAAGGAGUCAACCUUAUGUGCGAGUGUUUGGGUGUUAAACCCCUACGCGUAAUGAAAGUGAACGCAGGUGAGAGCUUCGGCGCAUCAUCGACCGAUCCUGAUGUUCUCGGAUGGAUUUGAGUAAGAGCAUAUAGGGUUGGACCCGAAAGAAGGUGAACUAUGCGUGUAUAGGGUGAAGCCAGAGGAAACUCUGGUGGAGGCUCGCAGCGGUUCUGACGUGCAAAUCGAUCGUCAAAUAUGCGCAUGGGGGCGAAAGACUAAUCGAACCUUCUAGUAGCUGGUUUCCGCCGAA